Molecule: ribosomal RNA, 429 nt
Filed under: Chloroflexota bacterium
Lineage: Bacteria; Bacillati; Chloroflexota
Also listed under: 1 other name
Description: Chloroflexi bacterium partial 16S ribosomal RNA
Rfam family: Bacterial small subunit ribosomal RNA
Source: RNAcentral
UGGGGAAUAUUGCACAAUGGGCGCAAGCCUGAUGCAGCCAUGCCGCGUGUAUGAAGAAGGCCUUCGGGUUGUAAAGUACUUUCAGCGGGGAGGAAGGGAGUAAAGUUAAUACCUUUGCUCAUUGACGUUACCCGCAGAAGAAGCACCGGCUAACUCCGUGCCAGCAGCCGCGGUAAUACGGAGGGUGCAAGCGUUAAUCGGAAUUACUGGGCGUAAAGCGCACGCAGGCGGGUUGUUAAGUCAGAUGUGAAAUCCCCGGGCUCAACCUGGGAACUGCAUCUGAUACUGGCAAGCUUGAGUCUCGUAGAGGGGGGUAGAAUUCCAGGUGUAGCGGUGAAAUGCGUAGAGAUCUGGAGGAAUACCGGUGGCGAAGGCGGCCCCCUGGACGAAGACUGACGCUCAGGUGCGAAAGCGUGGGGAGCAAACAGG